CGCGCGGAUGGAGCAACGGCGGCUCCCUGGCCUCAUAAGCCAGAGAUCAAUGGGUUCGACUCCCACCCGCGCAACCA
RNAcentral lists this transfer RNA (77 nucleotides) under Candidatus Rokuibacteriota bacterium. RNAcentral's name for it is "tRNA-Met". It matches the Rfam family "tRNA". Rfam says of the family: Transfer RNA (tRNA) molecules are approximately 80 nucleotides in length. Their secondary structure includes four short double-helical elements and three loops (D, anti-codon, and T loops). Further hydrogen bonds mediate the characteristic L-shaped molecular structure. tRNAs have two regions of fundamental functional importance: the anti-codon, which is responsible for specific mRNA codon recognition, and the 3' end, to which the tRNAs corresponding amino acid is attached (by aminoacyl-tRNA synthetases). tRNAs cope with the degeneracy of the genetic code in two manners: having more than one tRNA (with a specific anti-codon) for a particular amino acid; and 'wobble' base-pairing, i.e. permitting non-standard base-pairing at the 3rd anti-codon position. The record is from RNAcentral. Lineage: Bacteria; Candidatus Rokuibacteriota.